AUUGAACGCUGGCGGCAUGCCUUACACAUGCAAGUCGAACGGCAGCACGGGAGCAAUCCUGGUGGCGAGUGGCGAACGGGUGAGUAAUAUAUCGGAACGUGCCCAGUCGUGGGGGAUAACGUAGCGAAAGUUACGCUAAUACCGCAUACGAUCUAUGGAUGAAAGCGGGGGAUCGCAAGACCUCGCGCGAUUGGAGCGGCCGAUAUCAGAUUAGGUAGUUGGUGGGGUAAAGGCUCACCAAGCCGACGAUCUGUAGCUGGUCUGAGAGGACGACCAGCCACACUGGGACUGAGACACGGCCCAGACUCCUACGGGAGGCAGCAGUGGGGAAUUUUGGACAAUGGGCGCAAGCCUGAUCCAGCAAUGCCGCGUGCAGGAAGAAGGCCU
Molecule: ribosomal RNA, 387 nt
Filed under: uncultured bacterium
Lineage: Bacteria
Description: bacterial SSU rRNA
Rfam family: Bacterial small subunit ribosomal RNA
Source: RNAcentral